AGAUUUCUGCAGUUUGGGUGAGCAGGUAAAAGAGCAGUCAGGGUCUCCUGGUUCAGAUACACAGUGAACGGCAACCGUUCUCUAGAAGGCCUGAGCUCCUGUGGCUACUUCUCCAUUUACUGCUGAGGACCUGAGGCCAGAUCCAGCAGCAUCAACCAGUCAAGACUACACCCAUGGCUGCCUCGGAGGUUCCUCCCCCACUGAUCCCUUCUCAAGUUUAACCUCUAAUUACUUGACGAGGCUGCUGACUGAACAGGCCCCACAGAGGUCUCUUCAGUCCUUUGCACCCGCCUUCCACACUCUCCCCUCUGUGCUCAUUUCUGCUUCGGGCCACUCCUCUGCCGGUCGCGGCCGCACGGAACCUAGACAGACCCCGUCUCUUCCUGAAGCCUUCCGGCCGCACAUCGGCUCUCUAAUACACUGUCUCCUCUGUUUCACUCCUGUGGCUUUGUGUUUGCAUGUC
Bos taurus (domestic cattle) is the source of this 463-nucleotide long non-coding RNA. Lineage: Eukaryota; Metazoa; Chordata; Mammalia; Artiodactyla; Bovidae. The record is from Ensembl.